GGUGAAAGGCCAAUCAAACUCGGAAAUAGCUCGUACUCCCCGAAAUGCAUUUAGGUGCAGCGUAUUAAUAGUUUUAUAGAGGUAGAGCUACUGAUUGGAUGCGGGGGCUUCACCGCCUACCAAUUCCUGACAAACUCCGAAUGCUAUAAAAUGUUUUAAUGCAGUGAGGGCAUGGGUGCUAAGGUCCAUGUCCGAGAGGGAAAGAACCCGGACCAUCAGCUAAGGUCCCCAAAUAUAUACUAAGUUGAAUAAACGAGGUUUGACUGCCUAGACAGCUAGGAUGUUGGCUUGGAAGCAGCCAUUCAUUUAAAGAGUGCGUAACAGCUCACUGGUCGAGCGACAGGGCAUCGAUAAUAAUCGGGCAUCAAACACAGUACCGAAGCUUAGUCAGUAUUUAUACUGGGUAGGGGAGCAUUCUAUAGGCGGCGAAGCAGUCCUGUCAGGGAUUGUGGAGCGUAUAGAAAAGCAAAUGUAGGCAUAAGUAACGAUAAUGCGGGCGAGAAACCCGCACACCGAAAGACUAAGGUUUCCUCAGCUAUGCUAAUCAGCUGAGGGUUAGUCGGGACCUAACGCGAACCCGAAAGGGGUAGUGGAUGGACAACAGGUUAAUAUUCCUGUACCUGCUCACACUAAAAGUGACGGAGGCGAAAAGUUAGUGCGCACUGACGGAAUAGUGCGUUGAAGGGAGUGGUAACACCCCGAUAGUACAGUAAGGCUACGGCCGCGCUGAUAAUCUAGCAAAUCGACUUCCAAGAAAACCGAGUGAAGCAGCCCGUACCGUAAACCGACACAGGUAGUUGGGAUGAGAAUUCUAAGGUGCUCGAGAGAUUCAUGGCUAAGGAACUAGGCAAAAUAGACCUGUAACUUCGGGAGAAAGGUCGCCCAUCUUCGGAUGGGCCGCAGUGAAAAGGUCCAGGCGACUGUUUAUCAAAAACAUAGGGCUUUGCUAAAUCGAAAGAUGAUGUAUAAGGCCUGACACCUGCCCGGUGCUGGAAGGUUAAGAGGAGGGUUUAGCUUCGGCGAAGAUCUGAAUUGAAGCCCCAGUAAACGGCGGCCGUAACAAUAAC
Molecule: ribosomal RNA, 1067 nt
Filed under: uncultured Amoebophrya
Lineage: Eukaryota; Dinophyceae; Syndiniales
Description: partial Bacterial large subunit ribosomal RNA
Rfam family: Bacterial large subunit ribosomal RNA
Source: RNAcentral